Molecule: non-coding RNA, 68 nt
Organism: Podarcis lilfordi (Lilford's wall lizard)
Lineage: Eukaryota; Metazoa; Chordata; Lepidosauria; Squamata; Lacertidae
Source: the annotation of a GenBank genome assembly
UCCCUCAGACUAUAUAUAUAUAUAUAUAUAUAUAUAUAUAUAUAUAUAUAUAUAUUGGGGGGGGGAAU